CUUAUUUACACCAAUCUUAGAUUAUACUGGUGGCGUCACCAUAUUUCUAAUACAUUAAAAAUAUAUAUAUACAGUUGAAAUCGGAAGUUUACAAACAUUUAGGUUGGAGUCAUUAAAACUUGCUUAUUAAACCACUACAAACUUCUUGUUGACAAACUAUAGUUUUGGCAAGUCGGUUAGGCCAUCUACUUUGUGUAUGACACAAGUCAUUUUUCCAACAAUUGUUUACAGACAGAUUAUUUCACUGUAUCACAAUUUCAGUGGGUCAGAAGUUUACAUACAGUGGGGCAAAAAAGUAUUUAGUCAGCCACCAAUUGUGCAAGUUCUCCCACUUAAAAAGAUGAGGCUUGUAAUUUUCAUCAUAAGUAAAAAAUCCAGAAAAAUCACAUUGUAGGAUUUUUAUGAAUUUAUUUGCAAAUUAUGGUGGAAAAUAGUAUUUGGUCAAUAACAAAGGUUUAUCUCAAUACUUUGUUAUAUACCCUUUGUUGGCAAUGACAGAGGUCAAACGAUUUCUGUAAGUCUUCACAAGGUUUCCACACACUGUUGCUGGUAUUUUGGCCCAUUCCUCCAUACAGAUCUCCUCUAGAGCAGUGAUGUUUUGGGGCUGUUGCUGGGCAACACGGACUUUCAACUCCCUCCAAAGAUUUUCUAUGGGGUUGAGAUCUGGGGACUGGCUAGGCCACUCCAGGACCUUGAAAUGCAGCGACCCCUUCAUUAAAAACUUGGUUUUAAACGAUUCUCUACAGAUAGAAUGGGGCUACAUGCUUGGUCCCCUGUUGAACACACACCCACACCCUUUGUUUUUGAAACACACACACACUCCUGCUGCUCCGUCACACGCACACUCAUGCACGCACCCUGAUUUUCCGUGUCUUUUUCUUCGUGACAGACCGGGGUGAUGUCGGGAAAGGACAUUUUCCUAUCGGUAAAGGACCGGAUUGAUGGCUGGAAAGGACAUUUUCCCUUCGUUGAAGGUUCUCACGGAAGGGGAUAAUUCUCACUGAAACUACAGAAUAAAGCCGCCAGUUAAAAUCAAGGAACGGUUGUGCUCGUGGUUACUGAAGGGAGCUACAAGACCAUUAUCCGUUUCGAAUUCCCCAACUCAAAGACGCUUGCCCGCUCCAUCAUAACUCUGUAAGUUUUCCCUCCCUGUGUAGAUCAAACGUCCUGCCUGUAAAUCCUGGGUAUGCCCACAUGAUUCAUUAAUAAGAUGUGUAGAAAACUGUUUAGCCAUAGUUAAAGGCCUUUCAUAAAGAGGCUGUCAUGAUUGCAUGUGCCUCAUGUUUAACACGUAUUGCUUGUUACAGAAUACUACUGUUGUACAUUUAAUAUCCACUAGCAGAUUUCGUUGCCUUUGCACAAAUUCUGUCAUGUUACUGUAGUCUUUUCAAAAGUCAAUAAAUAUGUGUGUAGAGUGUACAUGUUUGUUUCACUGUAGAUCUGUUUAAGACCUCCUAGAAACACCUAAUUUCAUCCCAAAGCAUUAAUUAAUAAACUGUGUAGAAGCUGUUUAGCCAUAAGUAAAGGCCUUUCAUAAAGUGGCUGUCAUGAUAAACCUGAAUCUGAAAAUACCUUUAGGAUCUUUUCUUUGGGG
This is a long non-coding RNA of Oncorhynchus keta (chum salmon), 1594 nucleotides long. RefSeq lists it as uncharacterized. The record is from RefSeq and is a predicted model, not a curated record. Lineage: Eukaryota; Metazoa; Chordata; Actinopteri; Salmoniformes; Salmonidae. The transcript has 3 exons.